This 225-nucleotide unclassified non-coding RNA is filed under the name Hevea brasiliensis (rubber tree). Lineage: Eukaryota; Viridiplantae; Streptophyta; Magnoliopsida; Malpighiales; Euphorbiaceae. The record is from RNAcentral.
CAUUUUUACUGGCCCGGUAUGCAAUUUGAUGUUUUGCAAUGGGUAAGACAAUGUGAUCAGUGUGCCAGAUGUAAAACAGAAACUUGUUCCGUGCCAGGGUUGCUCUGACCUUUACCAUUGCCAUCCCAAACUUGGCAACAUCUCUCAAUGGAUUUCAUUAAGCAAUUGCCUAAGUCAAAUGGUAAAGACUCCAUCUUGGUAAUGGUUUGUAGAUUUACCAAGUAU